Molecule: non-coding RNA, 555 nt
Organism: Schizosaccharomyces pombe (fission yeast)
Lineage: Eukaryota; Fungi; Ascomycota; Schizosaccharomycetes; Schizosaccharomycetales; Schizosaccharomycetaceae
Source: the annotation of a GenBank genome assembly
GUUUAAGAAACUUUGAAGUUGAAGGAUUGAUCCUAGAUUCUUCCUCAGUGUUACAUUCAUCUGGAAUGGAACUAGACGAAGGGAAAUAUGAUAUUGAAACACGAAAAUCAGUGUUUUUAUUGACUUCCUCUUUACUGGCAACUGCAUCAGCCGGUGCGGAAACUCGACAAAAUUCUAAAUCAAGGCACAUUUCUGCAGUAGGUCGUUUGGCUGGAUCCCACUUUAACAAUUGGGACAACAUUGAAGCAAAAGCUAAAUUCCAUGGUGGGGAAAAUAAGUCUCCAAAGUCGAGCGGAGCCAUUUUGGGUAGAGAAAUACCUAGCUUAUUAGCUAAUAGUUCAGCUCGAUCCCAGAUACCACCUCCCUUAUCUCCAGUAUUCUGAGAUUGCUCAUCAGGGCUUCCAAGUAUUUCACACAUUUUAUAUAAUUGGUCGAAAUCAUCAUUUCCAGGAAAAAUUGGUUGAAGUGUAGCAAUUUCAAAUGCCAUGCAUCCAGCAGCAUAUAUGUCGACCGGAAACGAAUAAUAAGAGUCCCGUAAUAAUAGUUCAGGUGCAC